GUGAACGCUGGCGGUAGGCCUAACACAUGCCAGUCGAACGGCAGCACAGUAAGAGCUUGCUCUUACGGGUGGCGAGUGGCGGACGGGUGAGGAAUACAUCGGAAUCUACUUUUUCGUGGGGGAUAACGUAGGGAAACUUACGCUAAUACCGCAUACGACCUACGGGUGAAAGCAGGGGAUCUUCGGACCUUGCGCGAUUGAAUGAGCCGAUGUCGGAUUAGCUAGUUGGCGGGGUAAAGGCCCACCAAGGCGACGACCCGUAGCUGGUCUGAGAGGAUGAUCAGCCACACUGGAACUGAGACACGGUCCAGACUCCUACGGGAGGCAGCAGUGGGGAAUAUUGGACAAUGGGCGCAAGCCUGAUCCAGCCAUACCGCGUGGGUGAAGAAGGCCUUCGGGUUGUAAAGCCCUUUUGUUGGGAAAGAAAAGCAGCAGGUUAAUACCCCGCUGUUCUGACGGUACCCAAAGAAUAAGCACCGGCUAACUUCGUG
This 491-nucleotide ribosomal RNA is filed under the name uncultured bacterium. Its description in RNAcentral is "partial 16S ribosomal RNA". It matches the Rfam family "Bacterial small subunit ribosomal RNA", at positions 29 to 507 of the family's 1533-position model. The record is from RNAcentral.